RNAcentral lists this ribosomal RNA (497 nucleotides) under uncultured bacterium. RNAcentral describes it as "partial 16S ribosomal RNA". It matches the Rfam family "Bacterial small subunit ribosomal RNA", at positions 28 to 507 of the family's 1533-position model. The record is from RNAcentral.
GAUGAACGCUGGCGGCGUGCCUAAUACAUGCAAGUCGAGCGAACAGACGAGGAGCUUGCUCCUCUGACGUUAGCGGCGGACGGGUGAGUAACACGUGGAUAACCUACCUAUAAGACUGGGAUAACUUCGGGAAACCGGAGCUAAUACCGGAUAAUAUAUUGAACUGCAUGGUUCAAUAGUGAAAGACGGUUUUGCUGUCACUUAUAGAUGGAUCCGCGCCGCAUUAGCUAGUUGGUAAGGUAACGGCUUACCAAGGCAACGAUGCGUAGCCGACCUGAGAGGGUGAUCGGCCACACUGGAACUGAGACACGGUCCAGACUCCUACGGGAGGCAGCAGUAGGGAAUCUUCCGCAAUGGGCGAAAGCUUGACGGAGCAACACCGCGUGAGUGAUGAAGGUCUUCGGAUCGUAAAACUCUGUUAUUAGGGAAGAACAAAUGUGUAAGUAACUAUGCACGUCUUGACGGUACCUAAUCAGAAAGCCACGGCUAACUACGUG